Long non-coding RNA from Mercenaria mercenaria, 1023 nucleotides. RefSeq lists it as uncharacterized. The transcript has 3 exons. The record is from RefSeq and is a predicted model, not a curated record. NCBI's taxonomy places the organism in Eukaryota, Metazoa, Mollusca, Bivalvia, Venerida, Veneridae.
UGACAUUCUAUAUGUGUUUGUUCUUAGCAUUUUUAGUUGAUGUCUCGGUUUAACACAAGGUAAACAGAAAUUUUCUUUUCCAGAUUAUAAAUGCAUUCCUGCGGAUGAUUAAGGCGCGAGACAUUACAUCAGAGAGCCCCAUCUUCUUGCUCCCUUCCUACACAGCAUUGUGGAAUGCUGGUGACAUAUUUAAAAAGGUGCAGUUUAGAAAGUACAGAUACAUUGUAAAUGCCUGUAGAUGUCAACAACAAUCAUAUGGUACUUUCUAGUAGCAAGUGUGAGAGACAGAACCAAACGUUUUUUGUUUCCAUGAAUGGAAGUAAUGGAGAUAUGUUCAUUGACCUGUGGAGGUACGUAGAUUAUGACAGUUUGGCAACAAACAACCAAACCUAUGUCAUUCCUGUAUGCUUCAAUCAGCUGUAUCAGAGUCCGUAUUGAAAAUGACAGGAUUAUCUGACAUGCACUUUGACUGGAGACAGAAAUAGUGACUGUAAAGAGACAUUCUGUAUCCAUGGUGACAAUGGUCAGAUUCAGCUGCAGAGAUCUCUCCUUAACAACGGUGCUGUCUCCUACUCUGUAAGUUAUACUCACCAAGGUUUUAAAUUUUGAUUACAGAAUUUAUAGAAACUGCAAUUUUCUGUUUCUUGUAAAAGAUGAUAAUUUAUAUGAAUAAUCAUUGAAAUUUGCUCAUAAAAGUUAAUACAUUUGUUUUGAAUAAUCAGUGCAAGUGAUUUGAAAGUUUAUAGUAACAAAAUCUUGAUAGAUUUAUUUACUCUAUGUUUAUUUGUGUAUAUUUUAUAACUUAUAGUGCGGAGUGAAUGUUAAUGAUAAUAGUUACCCCACCAAUAAUAUUGCAGCAGUCAUGAUGUUUACAUCUUUAUCACACGUGACCUUACUAUGCCUGUGUUUACCAGUAACGCAUGAUGGUGACGAUCGAGGAUGAAGAAAUCAAUAACGGUAUCAUCAAGGUUACUGCUACAUGACACAGACUUAUUGUAAGUACAUUGUAUAGUGUUACAUCAC